AGUGAACGCUGGCGGUAGGCCUAACACAUGCAAGUCGAACGGCAGCACAGGAGAGCUUGCUCUCUGGGUGGCGAGUGGCGGACGGGUGAGGAAUACAUCGGAAUCUACUCUGUCGUGGGGGAUAACGUAGGGAAACUUACGCUAAUACCGCAUACGACCUACGGGUGAAAGCAGGGGACCUUCGGGCCUUGCGCGAUUGAAUGAGCCGAUGUCGGAUUAGCUAGUUGGCGGGGUAAAGGCCCACCAAGGCGACGAUCCGUAGCUGGUCUGAGAGGAUGAGCAGCGACACUGGAACUGAGAAACGGUCCAGACUCCUACGGGAGGCAGCAGUGGGGAAUAUUGGACAAUGGGCGCAAGCCUGAUCCAGCCAUACCGCGUGGGUGAAGAAGGCCUUCGGGUUGUAAAGCCCUUUUGUUGGGAAAGAAAUCCAGCUGGCUAAUACCCGGUUGGGAUGACGGUACCCAAAGAAUAAGCACCGGCUAACUUCGUGCCAGCAGCCGCCGUAA
This 506-nucleotide ribosomal RNA is filed under the name uncultured bacterium. RNAcentral's name for it is "partial 16S ribosomal RNA". It matches the Rfam family "Bacterial small subunit ribosomal RNA", at positions 29 to 523 of the family's 1533-position model. The record is from RNAcentral.